Molecule: non-coding RNA, 3049 nt
Organism: Pelodiscus sinensis (Chinese soft-shelled turtle)
Lineage: Eukaryota; Metazoa; Chordata; Testudines; Trionychidae
Source: RefSeq, a predicted model, not a curated record
UUAGAGGGAAUGUUGCUCCUAACCCCAAAGCUGCUGAACUAUAUCAAUUUACAUGGGUCUCUACCGAAUGUGCAUUGAGAGGGGGAUGAGUAGUACCCAUACGCUGCAGGACAAUUUGCACUAUAGGGUUUUUUCUAGGCAGCUUGACAACAUGCUGCAUCUCCCUGACACAACAUCUGUAUGAUGUUUAUGCCCCGACAGUAUGGCAUUGCAUUGUGAUGCAAUGUCUCUGUGCAGGCCCGGCCAAAGAGUUUGUGGGCCCCAAGGCAGCACGCUGUGGUUGGCUGAGCCACGCGGCCCCCAGUCAGGGCAGCGACAGGUGGUCAAAGGACUUGUUCCAUUCCAGUGCCUCCUCUGAGGAAUUUCUGGAGAGGAAACGCAAAGUAUAAACCUUAUGGAAACAAACUCUAACAAGUGCUCGAUCUGGUCAAAUACUCAGGGAUAGAAAAGCUCCAGGACAGAAGCUGGCUACCGCAUUUAGGGGAAGACAGAGGAAUUGGUGAGGAUAGCAUCGCUCCAUAGAAAACUCAAUGCUGACACAGGGGUCACUCUCCACAAACAGAAGCCUUGCCAGGGGACGUGAGGAACAGCGCAUGAUGUCUGGUGAAAGGAAAGGCUUUCUCGUGAUUGGUGUGUGAGAAAGACCUCAGCUUCAACCCUGCCCCAGAGAGCAGCCUGGAGCAGCCAUGGAGCUGGGUCAGCAGCUGGAACCAGAAGGUCUCUGCACAGCUCUCACAAUCAGUGGCUUGUGAUGUGUAAAUAAAUGGAGAAAAGCGUCGGAUCCAAGUAGCAGACAUUCCUCUCUUCCUGUCUGUACUCCGUCUCCUUCCUGGCUUCCCGCCUACUUCCUCUCCCCUCUUCACUCUCCUCUCCGGAAACUACUUCCCUUUCUCACUUCCCCUCCUUUCCCUCGUCCUGCAGCUCCUGCAGGCCUCUUGCUUCACUCUGUCCUAGUUACUUUCUGCCAUCUCUGUCCCACCUUCUUCAGUUUCCUUUUUCUCCCUCCCUCCCUGCCUUUCCUUCUGUUCUCCUCCCCUGCACCAGUGGAAGAAUUUUGGUGGUGCCCAGAGCUCACACUCCUGCCCCACUUAAACUCCCCCCUCCCACCUGCCUAAGGCUCUGAGAGGGAGUUUGGGUGGGGGAAGGGUUGCAGGCUCUGGGAGGGAAUUUGGGUACAGGAGGGGUAAGGGGUGGAGCUGUACGGGCCUCACUAACCCUGGUGCACUGCCGACAGGGCCAGAGGACACUGGAGGCAGGGAACGGCGAGUUUUUAUGGUGCCAGCCCAGGGCCAGGAAUAUUCCUGGUGUCAGGGCUCCACAGGCCCAUAUAACUCGCUGCCAAUGCCAGUGUUUUUUCCUUCUAAGCUGUGCACUUGGGCAGCUGCCCAGGAGAUAUUCAAAUGCCACGCAGCUAAUUAGCAGAGCAUCCACAGUUGCCCAGAGCAGAUUUUUCCAUCGGUGCUGCACAUCUGCACAUGUCUAGGAGCACGUAACAAAAUUUAUCCCGCACCUGAAUGGAAAAAAUAAGAAGGAACAUUGCCUUGCACCCAUGUCUAUUCCAACUUCUGUCUUUGUUUCUACCUUCGUUCUCUCUGUCUCUCUCUCUCAUGGCCUUAUGCUCUGCAGGACAAACGUCAAAUCCAGGGGCAACCCCACAGCUAGCAUGCACUCAUUCGUAAGAAGCUGAUCCCCUCCUGACGUCUCCCAGGCUUCUGUCUCCUCCAUGCAUGAGCUCUCUCUAUGUAGUGAAAACUCUUCUUUUUAGAUCAGAUGGCCAGGAUCCUUCUGUGUUGUUUGGGGGGCUGGAGGUGUCCAGACCUAAGAGGACUUUCUUGGGAGGAACUUUAGAACCUAGGGCUCCUUCUCUUUUUCCUCCGCCUCCGGCUGAUUUCCACCACUCGCCUUCCCCCCGUGUGUGGCCGAUAUAAGUCAUGCCUCGGUCGCUCCCCCAGGGCAUCUCACUACUUCCUGCCUUAGCCAUUUUGCCUGAUGUCUACUGUAGCCCAGCUCCUUGAAAACAACAGCCUCUGGCCCUAGACAAGCACUGAUUUCAGCUCUCCAUUUCUGGCCUUCUCUGAGCAGGCUAGCGACAGACACACACCAGCUCCUGAGCCCCUCUGCCAGCGGCAUCCCCCUCUCGCAUCCAGCUCCUACCACCAGACACUCACAGAAAUUACCACAUGAGCGGGGCCUAGUUCAGGCAGGGUGGGCGGCCGGUCUGAUCCGAGCCUCAGCAGAGACACCAGCCCAGGCACUGGCCUGGCAGACUCCAGAUUCUCCGGGCGGCAUUUCACACUGCCCCGCACCCUGGCAGGUGGGAACGCGGGUCAGUCCAGCCCCGGCCCACGCUGGCUGCCGCCUGGCCCUCCCCAGAGCUGCUUGGGCACCCGGCCUCAUUUCCAGCAUGUGGCUCCCAGGAGUCACCAGGUGAUCUGGCCCUGCGGCAGGUGGCUGCUUCCCCUUGGAAAUCCUCUUGGGAUGCUGGGUUCUGUGCUUCGGGGACAAAGAGCCUGACGGGUUGAAGAGCUCACCAUGCCCUGCCCAUCCUGCCAGCCCAACAGGCUCAGCUUGGCACGGGCUGGAUUUGUGGGAGGGGGCUGCGUAGAGGCAGGAGCCAGGCAUGGAUGGGGAAACAGCCCUGCAGGCAUGUUACCUGGGGGGUCACUGGAGCCAGGCUCCUUGAAACUGGAGCGAGGCCGAUAAUAAAACACGGGGCCAUGAAUAUUAAGGCUGAAGAGAGAAUGAGCAAGGAUAAUAAGGAAAGGUUACCUGUAAAUCAAGAGGGAUAAUGUGUUCCCUAGAGUCUCGACUUUAUUCUAACAGGCUGAAAUCCUUGUCCAAGCAAUUCCUCACCUAAAGCCUUCCAGCCUCACUAGCCCACAUGGCCAGGGUCCGCAUUGACUACAAAAAGUGCUGUCCUUUGGGUUCCUCAGUGAAGGGUAAGAGAGGCGUAACGACAUUGCACAAGGGGGGUUUUCUUGCACAAGAAGGGGCAGUGUAGACAACUCCUUCUGGCGCAAGAGCCUCUUCUGCAAAAAUGGUGGCUCAU